This 254-nucleotide ribosomal RNA is filed under the name uncultured bacterium. Its description in RNAcentral is "partial 16S ribosomal RNA". It matches the Rfam family "Bacterial small subunit ribosomal RNA", at positions 524 to 776 of the family's 1533-position model. The record is from RNAcentral.
UACAGAGGUCUCGAGCGUUGUUCGGAUUCAUUGGGCGUAAAAGGGUGCGUAGGUGGUCAGGUAAGUCGGAUGUGAAAUCCCGGGGCUCAACCUCGGAACUACAUUCGAUACUGCCUGACUGGAGUACUGGAGAGGAGAUUGGAAUUUACGGUGUAGCAGUGAAAUGCGUAGAUAUCGUAAGGAAGACCAGUGGCGAAGGCGGAUCUCUGGACAGUUACUGACACUGAGGCACGAAGGCCAGGGGAGCAAACGGG